This is a long non-coding RNA of Gossypium arboreum, 438 nucleotides long. RefSeq lists it as uncharacterized. NCBI's taxonomy places the organism in Eukaryota, Viridiplantae, Streptophyta, Magnoliopsida, Malvales, Malvaceae. The transcript is spliced from 2 exons. The record is from RefSeq and is a predicted model, not a curated record.
AGAUUGGCCCCAAGGGUUUUAAAGCCAAUUAAUAACAUGAUGGGUUCUUCAUCAAGGACUGGGUUAAAACCAUUUGAUAAUGGUGCGAAAAUGGGGCUUAAAGAUGAUGCUAACCCAUUUUUUGGUUCAACCUGUUCAGAUUAUAGGGCCCUAGAUAUCAACAAAAGAAAGGCUGUCAAGUUGGUUUAGUCAUGGAACAUUGCUCCAAUCCUUGAAAGUGAAAUCGAUUCUUUCAAAAUUGGGGAACGCAGCAUGGAUGACAAGAAUACAGGUCAACGACCGACCAGAUUAAAGGAAAUCCAACACACACGACCACCAGAUAUGUAAUUGGAGAUUUGAAAGUAGCCCUCAGUGGAGGUAACGAUGGAUAUGAAGAAAAUAGUUGAAGGCAUUGAAAGGGAAUCAGGGACUGAUUUGGAGGCAAAAGUAAAAUUAAGG